RNAcentral lists this small RNA (113 nucleotides) under Tatumella sp. JGM118. RNAcentral describes it as "RtT sRNA". It matches the Rfam family "RtT RNA". From Rfam's summary of the family: This family represents a bacterial cis-regulatory element known as RtT RNA. The exact function of RtT is unknown although it is thought that it may be involved in changing the cellular response in relation to amino acid starvation. Lineage: Bacteria; Pseudomonadati; Pseudomonadota; Gammaproteobacteria; Enterobacterales; Erwiniaceae. The record is from RNAcentral.
UUUACGUCUGUAGUUAACAGGAUGAGAAUCUCCGAAGGAGGUUUGAGCCGGGCGAAGCGAGACAACGUUGCGUAGCAACGGCCCGAAGGGGAAUAACCCUUUCUCGCCGACCA